UACGUAGGGUGCAAGCGUUGUCCGGAAUCAUUGGGCGUAAAGCGCGCGUAGGUGGCCAUUUAAGUCCGCUGUGAAAGUCAAAGGCUCAACCUUUGAAAGCCGGUGGAUACUGGAUGGCUAGAGUACGGAAGAGGCGAGUGGAAUUCCUGGUGUAGCGGUGGAAUGCGCAGAUAUCGGGAGGAACACCGGUGGCGAAGGCGGUUCUCUGGGCCUUACCUGACGCUGAGGAGCGAAAGUGUGGGGAGCGAACAGG
RNAcentral lists this ribosomal RNA (253 nucleotides) under uncultured bacterium. Its description in RNAcentral is "partial 16S ribosomal RNA". It matches the Rfam family "Bacterial small subunit ribosomal RNA", at positions 524 to 776 of the family's 1533-position model. The record is from RNAcentral.